AAUGGCUGCAGUAAUAUAACUGUACAAAGGUAGCAUAAUCAUUAGUUUUUUAAUUAAAAGCUUGUAUGAAAGGUUGAACGAAGUAAAAUCUGUCUCUUUUUAAUAUAAUUAGAAUUUAAUUUUUAAGUAAAAAAGCUUAAAUUUAUAUAAAAGACGAGAAGACCCUAUAGAGUUUAAUAAUUUAUUUUAAAUAAUUAAUUUAGAUUUAUUUAUUUUAUUUAUUAUAUAAUUAUUUUAUUGGGGUAAUAAUAAGAUUAAAAUAAUUCUUUUUUUUAUUUUACAUUAAUUUAUGAAUUAAAUGAUCCAUUUUUAUGAUUAAAAGAUUAAAUUACCUUAGGGAUAACAGCGUAAUUUUUUUAAAGAGUUCAUAUCGAUAAAAAAGUUUGCGACCUCGAUGUUGGAUUAAAGAUUAAUUUAGGUGUAGAAGUUUAAAUUUUUGGUCUGUUCGACCAUUAAAUCUUUACAUGAUCUGAGUUCAAACCGGUGUAAGCCAGGUUGGUUUCUAUCUUUAUAAAAUUUUUAUAUUUUAGUACGAAAGGACCAAAUAUUUAAUAUAUAAAUAUUUAAUUAUUUUGAAUAU
Molecule: ribosomal RNA, 580 nt
Filed under: Duvalius goemoeriensis
Lineage: Eukaryota; Metazoa; Arthropoda; Insecta; Coleoptera; Carabidae
Also listed under: 1 other name
Description: partial 16S ribosomal RNA
Rfam family: Bacterial large subunit ribosomal RNA (bases 339-497)
Source: RNAcentral